Molecule: ribosomal RNA, 460 nt
Filed under: uncultured bacterium
Lineage: Bacteria
Description: partial 16S ribosomal RNA
Rfam family: Bacterial small subunit ribosomal RNA
Source: RNAcentral
CCUACGGGAGGCAGCAGUGAGGAAUAUUGGUCAAUGGACGAGAGUCUGAACCAGCCAAGUAGCGUGAAGGAUGACUGCCCUAUGGGUUGUAAACUUCUUUUAUAAAGGAAUAAAACGAGGCACGUGUGCCUUUUUGCAUGUACUUUAUGAAUAAGGAUCGGCUAACUCCGUGCCAGCAGCCGCGGUAAUACGGAGGAUCCGAGCGUUAUCCGGAUUUAUUGGGUUUAAAGGGAGCGUAGAUGGGUUGUUAAGUCAGUUGUGAAAGUUUGCGGCUCAACCGUAAAAUUGCAAUUGAUACUGGCAGUCUUGAGUACAGUUGAGGUAGGUGGAAUUCGUGGUGUAGCGGUGAAAUGCUUAGAUAUCACGAAGAACCCCGAUUGCGAAGGCAGCUUACUAAACUGUGACUGACAUUGAUGCUCGAAAGUGUGGGUAUCGAACAGGAUUAGAUACCCUUGUAGUC